CCUGGGAGUUAUAGAAAUCACUUCCGAAAUUGGUGGGAGGAAAAAGCGAGGUAUGGAGACACGGGGGCGUAUCCCUCUUCCAGAAUUCACGUUCCUUCCUUUGAUGUCUCAAUACAGAUGAGUCUCUCAAGGAAGGACCCAAGAGAUACUCUCUCCCUACCUCCAUGAGGAAAAUGGAACCCAGGGAGAGCAGCAAGCUGAUAGCAGAAUCAGGAUCACAAUGCAGAUUGCAUUGCUUUGCUUGUGAGGAGACCCCUUCAAGACUGCUGAAAAGAAGCCAUCACAUGCCCUUGGCCAGAAGCCUGGCAUAGUGAAAUUCCGAGAGGUGGAGUUCCUUUUUUAUUUUUUUCUAUUAUGAUUUUCCUCUAUUAAAGAAAUAGCAAUUAAUAUUUGAGAAAAUGUGCUCUAAUUACAUUUUGCAAUCCAUGCCCUUGGGUUAAAGUGAACCCAGAUGUAAUUAUUUUUGUGAAAUAGCUCUUAACUCUCUGCAUAUUAAGUCUUGCUUCCUUUAAAAGCAGCAGGAUGCCUUCACAUCAUUGCUGUUGGCAUUUUCUUGUCAGAAUUACUAAGGAUUAAUUACAAAUUACUUUUAUUGCACUGGGAGUAGGCAGCACAGAAUCAACAAUGUCUCCUAAACGUUAAUGUAGUCAGUAGUUUUCAGUCAUUUUGGUCUCAAAACUCCGUAGCCUUUUAAAAAUUGAGGACUCCAAAAAACUUGUGUGCAUACGGCUUUAUCUAUGAAUAUUAUUAGAAAUAAAAACUGAGAAACUUAAAAAAUCUGUACUUAUUAAUUUAUUUUAAAACAACAGCAAUAAUCCUGUUGCAGUGGGAUUCAUGGGUUAUUAUUAUUUUAAAAUAAAUUAAUAGGUAAAGAGUUACAGAAAUAGUUUAACAUAUUUUUAUGAAAAAAUAACAUUUAAAAAAAUGCUAAGAGCAACAUUGGUUUUAGAGUUUUGUAAAUCUCUUCUAUCUCUGGCUUAAUAUGAGACAGCUGGAUUCUCAUACCUGCUUCUUCCUUGAGUCCGUUGCAGAUAUCAUACAUCAUGCAACCUCAGAAAAGCUCCACUUACAGGAGAGAAUGAGUCUGAAAAAGAACCAUAACAUGCUGGUAUUGCGGUGAAAAUAGUUUUGACCUCGUGAGCUCACUAAAAGUGUUUCAAGGAUACUUGAGGGUCUCUGGACCACAUUUUGAGAACCA
RNAcentral lists this long non-coding RNA (1198 nucleotides) under Homo sapiens (human). RNAcentral's name for it is "HSALNT0154403". Lineage: Eukaryota; Metazoa; Chordata; Mammalia; Primates; Hominidae. The record is from RNAcentral.